AGUAAUUUAUAUAACAAUUUCCACUCUACAUAAGCUCAAGGAAGAAAUGUGCUGAAAGUAUUAAACUGCUAUCAAUGAGAGACUAAGACUGUACAUGGGAUUUUAGCAGAAUCUUCAAUGUGAUUCAUAGGACACCAAGACUUUGAAAUACUAAGAAAAGGAUUACCAAAUUAAUUUGCUCAGACUAUCAAUUGGUUCCAAUUGCAAAAAAAAGAGAACUUUCAAAAUGAAUUCAUUGAGUUUGAGGUAAGUGAAAUAUUGAAAAUUUAUUAUAAAAAAAUAUCCUAAUAUCAUCACAUUUUGAUACCAUCCAGAUUUUAGUAGAUAAAGGGCUCUAACCAGUUUAAGCAGUUGUAUUUUAUAUUUGACUGUUCAAUAUAGACUCCUCAUUAUACAGAAUACCAUUUAAUAGAAUCAUGUGAAGUUUAUGAAGGAUAGAUAUAGAAAUUUUUCAAUGAAGUGGGAAACUAAUCUUUGGAAUUUAACUAUUUGUAUUUACUGGGUGACAUAUAUUGGCUGGAAGUUGCUUCUUUAUGAACCAAACCAGAAUGAACUUGUGCAGGCAUCAGCAAGCUAGAUUCUUUAUGGUGGAAAUAGGUUAUUAAAAUUUAGUUUUAGCAUGCAGUGAAGACAUCAAAACUUUUACUAACAUGCAUGUUUUUAAAUUUUCAGGUUUGAAUGACUAAAACUACAGGGACCAACAAAUACAUAAUCUCUCUGUAACUAUAACCUGUAAUAUUUCAUGACUGGCAGGUUUGGAAGGUGUUGAUUAAAAUUUGCAACAUAAAAUAUUUAAUUUAUAAUAUAAAAUAUCAUCUAUCAUUUAAAAGUGAAAAACGAUUAGUAUUAUAAAACUUUAUUAUUCAACUCAAUUUACCAUCAAACCAAUUAGAAAUCACUAAAAUUCCUUUGCUGUGUCUCAUUUUGGGAAUAAAUUCCUAAAGCAACUGUAAUCAGAUUUAUUUCUUCUGUUCUUUCUUUGUGAUACAAGUUUGCCAGAAAAUUCAACUUCUCUUGUGUCAAUCUUGACCAAAAACAUAACUAUUUUUCUCUGUGGCUUGUAAAAUCUGCAUUAAAGGAAGAUCAGGUAUUGGAAGUAAGGGAGGAAGUUAACAUCAUGUGAAAAAGCACAACUGGACAUAUAUAGUACCGUUUACCUGAACACAAACAUCUUGGCAUUCAUCUAAAAACUUCAUGGAACCCAAAAGUUGUUCAUUAAUCCAAACUCCAGCAAAACCCUUUACAGAAUGUCCUGUGGUAUGAGUAAUAAACUUUUAUAAUCACUAUUGUUUUGUACUUUUAAUAUUUUAUGUUACAAAUUGAUAUUUUGCAUUGCAAAUUUUAAUCAACACCUUCCAAACCUGUGAGCUACACAUUCCACAGGGAAAAAGUUUUUUUUGAGAUCUGGAAAAAGAUUCUAGGGAUGUUGGUUUUGACAUCAGGUGAGAAGGGUGAGGCAUACCAGAUUACCUAUCCCCUUCUCUUCUUCUAUCUGUCAUGGGGAUGUGUUAGUAUGGGCAGUUAGGAGUCCUCAUUUUAAUGCCUAUAUGACCUGGUCCUAGGUUCUAGGUUGCACUCUGUCUAGACCUGGAGUUGCAACUCAUUUACUCAACCCUCCCAUGAUUCACAUGCCUAAGGCAUCCCUGGUCAAGGUGGAGCAUGUGCUACUCCAUCCCUGGAGGUCAGGACAUUGCUGUGGCAAAUUGAUGCUCUCAGUGACUUGGUUUCAUUUGCCAUGGGUCCCAAGGUCAAUUGACCUAUGUUGGGAAAGUAAACAGUCAAUAAGUUCUCACCACUAGUUCUGUUAACAUUAUUCAUAUGUUAACAUUCUUUAUACUUUUACAUCCUCCAGGGCCAGUUUAAGCCUGGUGUCUGGGAUAAAAUUAAUUCUAUUAUUGUAUUCAGCUCUCUUAAGUGCUUCAUUAUAGUAUUUCAAGUCAUUGUAGGAAAUCCAUUCAUUGAUGGAAAGGUUGGAAAGCCUAAUUGAGAUACAUUAGUUACAUUAUUUACAUUUGACAGAUAUUUGUCCUAAUCUUGUUUGUUGUUAACACAAAAUUUCGGCUGAUAUACCCUCCAGCCUUCAUCAGGUGUCUUGGGGAAAUUUCGAACCUGGGUUCUCAUUCCUAAGGUAUUUUUCGAUGUUGUUGUUGUUAUUAUUAUUAUUAUUAUUAUUAUUGUUAUUAUUAUUAUCAUCAUCAUCAUCAUUAUUAUUAUUAUUAUUAUUCAGGUCACUGCCUGGAAUCGAACUCAGAAUCUUGGGGUUAGUAGCCUGCGCUCUUAACCACUACGCCAUAUGGCAUAUGGCAUAGUGGUUAAAAGUGCGAGCUACUAACCCCAACAUUCUGAGUUUGAUUCCAAGCAAUGACCUGAAUAAUAAUAAUAAUAAUAAUAAUAAUAAUAAUAAUAAUAAUAAUAACAACAACAACAACAUCAAAAAAUACUUUAGGAAUGAGAGCCCAGGUUUGAAAUUUCCCCAAGACACCUGAUGAAGGCUGAAGAGUAUAUCAGCCAAAACAUUGUGUUCAGAACAAACAAGAUGAGGACAAAUAUCCAUCAAAUGUAAAUAAUGUACAUAAUUCCUCAUCUCUUAAAUAUAGAACCUAAUUGAGAUAUUCUUAACUAAUCCAUCAACAACAUAUCUGGGAUGGUCUAUGAAUGAAAUGGAGGCUCCUGUUAGGUUUGUGGUACAGAUAAUAUGAUCCUGAAUCCAGAUCUACUGUAAUGUAUAGAAAGUUAACCAUUUUACUACACUUUUUGAAAGAUAUAGAAAGAUUAUGAGGUGGGUGUGCUAAGCAGUGAUAUGUAUAAAUGCAAUGUUAUUACCAGUUCAAAUAUGCUAAAAGCAUGUUCAAACUUGUAAACAAGCCAUUCACUGUGUUUUGUUGUCAAGAAAAUUUCUCACUGUAGACAAAUGGUGUAAAUACACCCAAAUCACUUUGCAGCACCACCUAUCCAGAUUGUGAGAUGCAAGCAUUUCAGAGUGGUUAUCUCCUCUUCAGUCACAAAAACCGAGCAGUGGUGCUGUGAGCUGAUAAAAGAGACAAUCUCUUUUAUGUUAUGCCAGUUAACAAAUGUUAGUUGGUAGUGCAACUCAACGUGUAAUUUAAUUACGAUGAGCUGUCAAUUUGCCCUACCAGCCAACAUAUGUUGACUGGAAUAAUAUAAGACAGACUCACUCUCUUAUCAGCUCGCAGUGCCACCAUCUGGUUUCUGUGACCGAAGAGGAAAUAACCACUUCGAAAUGCUUGUAUCUCACAUUUUUUUCUACCUGGCUGGCUCCUGUCAACCAUCCUACCCAUGCAUGAAAAGAAGAUGGACGUUAAACGAUGAUGAUUAUGAUAUCACCUAAUAUAGAAAGAAGGGGGCAUACCAGAUCAGAUAUCUUAGUAAGCUACCGGGUAUCUAUUAAUUAACUUUUUAGUUUGAUUUAUAGGUGCUGUGAAUAUUAUUAUUAGAAUGUAUAAGUUGUUAUUAUAUAAGUUAAAUCAGGUUGUAUACCACGAACUGAUAGUUGUAGGCUAGAAGUUCAGAUGAUAUGUUCCUUCAUUAUCAUGUAUCAUACAAAUAAUUAUUGUUACUCAGUAUAAAGAUUAAUUAUGGAAAGAACUUAGUGGAAUUGGGAAAUCUCGCUAGGGUGUAUAGGUUGCUAUUUUAUAGGUUAGAAACGAUCGUAUACUGCAAAUACACAAUAUUAGGUAAAUCUACAAGGGGUGAUGUUACUGUUACUAAGGUCGUUACCAUUACUUGCUAAACUUGGAGUAAAAGAAUAUGGGUUAUGAGCAUGGCCAUAAGGGAUUAUGCCAUCGGAUUCUGACAUUGAAGGGUUAGGGAUAGGUAGUAUAACAGGUUGGUUAUCAGUACUACUGUGUGCGUUGUAUUCAUUUACCAUAUCAAUAACAAGAAAUGACGUGCGUUGGCUAGAAUUAAGGUUAGUGGAAUGUGUGUCAGAGUUGUGGAUGACCAUGCAAAGGAGAGGUGACGAGAAUGGCUCCUUUAGUACACCACACGGUAGAUACAAUAAAUGCAAAAUGGAUGAAUGAGUAUAAGUGCCAGAAGGAAAAGAGAGACACAACCGAGUAGAAUAUUUAAGAGAAGAUUUUAUUGAUAGAUUAACGUGUAUGCGUCAUAUAUACAUAAUGUGUAUGUAGAAACAUGGAUGUAUGCAUGUGCAUUAAGUCCAGAGCAUUGAAAGAGUCUAUAAUAUGACGUUAGAUGAAUGUACAGACACAAGGAUGAUAAAUACCAGUUCGUAGUCAAGGUACACGAUAGUUGAAGUGCUGUAUCAAGAAGUUGAGGCUGCAAUGCAGAGCCAGUUGAGGCACAUGUCAUGCGUGAAGCUGUGGCUACUAUGCAGAGUCGGUUACUUGGUACAGAAGGUUCUUGCAGGAUGUGUUUGCUGUUAACCAUGGUGAAGUAAUUCAUUAACAGUAUUGAGAUAGAACCUGUGCAAGGGUUGCUGGUUGCUGUGUACAUAGAAAGAUGUUGUUGAUGACGUUAAGGAGUCAGAGGCGACAAAGAUGGAGGUCCUGAAUGCUGCUGGAUGAAGUUAAUGAGUCUCCAUGUGGCUGCUGUUGUGUUGUCACUGGAACUGGCUGUGUGAUCUGUGGUCUGUGGUCAGUGGUUAGAUCUCAAAGGGUCUAGAACUGAAAGAUGAAAGAUGGUGUAAAGCUAGCGUUUUAUACUGUACUAUUGGCUCACCGGAAGUUUGGAAGAGACUGUCUAUGUAACCUUGUCAGAAGGCUGCAAUUGGUUGAGUUGGAUAUUGGCGUGCAAUAGAGCAAGAGACAAACUGCGCCAAUACCACCAUUGACUUCAAGUAUGUAAUUUCCACCAAUAACUCAGGCUCCUUUUAUUGAACCUGGUCGCAGUUCAUUUGUUUUUGCUCAGCAUCUGGUGGUCGUUUAGAGGUGCUCUGUGUCAAAAAAUAUCAUUCGUUGCAGACGUUCUCUCUACAUCAUUCACAUGCCCCUGACGGGCUCAGAGGUUACAGCCUGAGUUGAUAUCUUUAAUUGUAUAUAUUGAAAGUAACCCAAAUUCAAUGUUUUAUUGAAACAAUAUAUUUCUAUAGAGAUUAGGAUUUAAAUUCUAGUCUAUGAAAAUUUCCAUUCUACAAUAUUCUUAAAGGAACGAAAAAUUAUCCAGCAACUAGGGCUAAUAUGAAUGAGCCUGGUAGGAGCAAAAAACUAACUGGCAUCUCUGGUCAAUAGUACAGGCGACAGUCAGAUAGCUGAUGUUUGUUGUGCACUUGCUGCUAUUCUGUGCACCUGUGUGUAAAGAUCAGUAGUGUCUUGCAGGGUUGCUUUAUUUUUACCCUUAACUUAGAAAUGGAGAAAGGCAUAGUGCUAGAUAUAAAGAAAAUAAGCCAUUUGGGGCUAGAAGUACUGCCAUAAAAUGUGAAAUUCUUCGAGGUGAAAUCUCUGAUGAGCCCAAGUGACGCUGAUGACUUGGAGUCACCACUGAUAUAUAUAUAUAUAUAUAUAUAUUUUAUAAAAUCUGUUCUGUCUGUCUGUGCAUGUAUCUUCUAGGAUCUCGGGCAGUGAGGAAGUGAAUGUAAAAUAAAAACCAAUCACACUAAAGGAAGUGCCCAAGAAUGGCCACAGCCUCUGUCUGAAACUAUUAAAGGCAAAAGCAAGCAGUAAUUCUUUUCACACACAAAAAAGAUUGUCCUGAUAUAUUUCAUAGCUCAUUGGCUAGUCAAUAGAUACAUGUUUUCCUCUUACGUGAAUCACCAUAUAUAAUCCCUAAUUCAAUUUCAGUGCUUCAUCAACCAGGCUUUUGAUGAUUAUUAAUGGUACUAUGGAAAUGAAUUGAUUUCGGCAAGGAAUUAAAAAUGGGACUUUGCUCCCUGGGAUCUUGUCUGUUCAAGUAUGAUGUACACUUUUUAUGUAUGAAUUAAGUAGUUGGUCUAAAAUUUCGCUAUUAAAAGUAAUAGUGUCAACAGUAAAUCAGUUUUGUUGACCUACAUUGUUUUCUUAGACAUGAAGUCGAAUUUUAUUACAGUGGAGUGUAAUUUUCUGAAUACUUAAGUAUGUUGCUAAAACUUAUUUUAUUGAUACUGGGAGUAUGAAAGAUGAAGUUUAUUGCAAGGAUAUUUGAAGAUAAAGGGAUAAAAUUAAAUACUUGAAAUCAUCUGAGCAGGUAAUCUUUUGACUUUGUCUACUAAUUUAUCUAAUAUUUGCUAUGUUGUAAUAUACAUUGAUGUAAUUUGUGUUAGGUAGCAUUCUUGUGUUAACAACUGCAGAACAACAUCUGGGUGAAUUUUUCAAAUGUUAAUUAUUUUUUGUCUGUCAGUUACCUCUUACAACUCUUUAUAUUUCAUUGGUAAUACUAAUAAGAAUGAAAAUGAAAUGUUAAAUGACUGUGUGGAUAGUAAAUAGGUUAGCUAUUAUAAAUAAGCAUCCCUAUUAUACUUUGUAACUCAAAUGUUCAAAUGUCAAUGAGUCAGAAAUAUAUUUCAUAAUUAUUUAUUUGGUUCUUUCUGUUUCCUAGGUUUAUAUUCAAGUUUCUCUUUGCCAACUGUUUUACAUUUAUUGCCUGUAAGUAAAGUUUUACUUUUUAUUUUCUCUGAGAUUGAGCAUGGUAGAUAUCAAAUUAUGGAACUUGCAAGCAGUCGUGCUAUAAGCCUAACCUAUAGACAUUUGUUUGUUCAUUCAUUAAACUUUCAUUUUUCCAUGAUAGUGUAAGUUUGGGCACAUUUGAAAUACAAUUAUGCAGUUAGAUUCUUAUUUCUCAAAGGAUUUUGUCAUCCCACAGGUUUUUGAGAGGACAAAGGGACCACUCAUAAUGUCGACCAUUUCACACAAGCAAAGCUGUGGAAUAUCAAUAUUCAUGCUUAUUUGCACUCAUACAGGAGUUGGACAAAAUAAUGGAAACACCUAGCAUCAUAGCAUCAUAAUUUUGAAGUAUCUAUAAAACUGUCAAAAGCUUGUUUAUUUUUAUGUUUUUUGAUUUAUUAUUAGUGUUGCUUAAUAUGGCUUGCUAAAUUACUGUUUCCUUUCAGAUAUCAGAAAAAGGCAAUUAAAAUUCAUUAAAAUGACAGAUCUAUUGGACUUUCAAAGAGGUCAAAUUGUUGGUGCUUAUAUGGCAGGCACGAGUGUAAUGUAAACAGCAAAAAUGUUCAGUGUAUCAAGAAGUACUGUCUUGAAAGUAAUGACAGCCAUUGAGAAAGAAAGAAAAAUCUCCUCAUCGAAACAAAACUCCGAA
Molecule: long non-coding RNA, 7203 nt
Filed under: Octopus vulgaris (common octopus)
Lineage: Eukaryota; Metazoa; Mollusca; Cephalopoda; Octopoda; Octopodidae
Source: RNAcentral